UCCAGGGCUACACACGUGUUACAAUGGUUAGCACAAAGGGUCGCAAAGCCGCAAGGUUGAGCCAAUCCCAUAAAACUAACCUCAGUUCGGAUUGGAGUCUGCAACUCGACUCCAUGAAGUCGGAAUCGCUAGUAAUCGUGGAUCAGAACGCUACGGUGAAUACGUUCCCGGGUCUUGUACACACCGCCCGUCACGCCAUGGAAGUCAGCAGUACCCGAAUCGGGUGGCCUAACCUUCGGGAGGGAGCUCGUUAAGGUAAGGCUGGUAACUGGGGCGAAGUCGUAACAAGGUAGCCGUACCGGAAGGUGCGGCUGGAUCACCUCCUUUCUAAGGAGUACUGUGAAGAAAUUCACAGGACGGUCGAAAUUGAAUCAACAGACUCACUUGCAUACCAAAGUAUUGGGCUUGUAGCUCAGGUGGUUAGAGCGCUGCCCUGAUAAGGCAGAGGUCCGUGGUUCGAGUCCACGCAGGCCCACCACUUAGCUGCAGUCAAAAAUUGGGGCUUUAGCUCAGUUGGGAGAGCGCCUGAUUUGCAUUCAGGAGGUCAUCGGUUCGAUCCCGGUAAGCUCCACAAGAUUUUUGCUUUUUGAAAAUUGGGAAAUUGGAUAACUGACAUUAUUUUUUAAUAAUAGAUGUAGCCAAGUCAUCUUCAAGAAAGACACUUUAGUAAAGCUACUAAGGGCGUACGGGGGAUGCCUAGGCACAUGGAGGCGAUGAAGGACGUGAUAAGCUGCGAAAAGUUUCGGGGAG
Molecule: small RNA, 750 nt
Filed under: uncultured bacterium
Lineage: Bacteria
Description: bacterial SSU rRNA
Rfam family: Bacterial small subunit ribosomal RNA (bases 1-327)
Source: RNAcentral